AUGGAUGCUACAACUUUUUCCAAACUAUGGCGUGUUUCAGUUGUCACUGAAAAGGAUUCUGUAAUGCUCCCUGAUGCAGACAAAGGGAAGAUCAGAGCGAAGACACUGCUAAUUCAUUGUAAGCACCCGAGGGUUGAAAAUACAAUUUUCAGAAGAAUUCCCCGCAUUCGUGUUUUGGAUCUGACUGCUUCAUUUAUACAAAGUAUCCCAGAUUCCAUUGGAAGUUUGAUCCAUCUACGGUUACUUGAUCUUGAUGGGACUGACAUACCUGGUCUUCCGGAGUCUAUCGGCUCUCUGAUAAACCUUCAGAUACUGAACUUACAAAGGUGCAGAUUUCUGGGAACUCUUCCUUGGGCUGUCACUAAAUUGUGCAAUCUUAGGCGCCUUGGUCUUGAUCAUACACCAAUAAAUCAGAUGCCAAAGGGGAUAGGUAGAUUGGAAUUCCUCAAUGAUUUGGAAGGGUUUCCUGUUGGUGGUGCAAGUGAUCAUACAAAUACACAAGAGCCUGAUAAGGCGGCUUUCUAUGAUUAA
Molecule: ribosomal RNA, 531 nt
Filed under: Triticum aestivum (bread wheat)
Lineage: Eukaryota; Viridiplantae; Streptophyta; Magnoliopsida; Poales; Poaceae
Description: partial small subunit ribosomal RNA
Source: RNAcentral